RNAcentral lists this ribosomal RNA (753 nucleotides) under Mesophoma ageratinae. RNAcentral's name for it is "Didymellaceae sp. ALY-2022b partial large subunit ribosomal RNA". It matches the Rfam family "Eukaryotic large subunit ribosomal RNA", at positions 81 to 852 of the family's 3401-position model. Lineage: Eukaryota; Fungi; Ascomycota; Dothideomycetes; Pleosporales; Didymellaceae. The record is from RNAcentral.
UAGUAACGGCGAGUGAAGCGGCAACAGCUCAAAUUUGAAAUCUGGCGUCUUCGGCGUCCGAGUUGUAAUUUGCAGAGGGCGCUUUGGCAUUGGCAGCGGUCCAAGUUCCUUGGAACAGGACGUCACAGAGGGUGAGAAUCCCGUACGUGGUCGCUAGCCUUUACCGUGUAAAGCCCCUUCGACGAGUCGAGUUGUUUGGGAAUGCAGCUCUAAAUGGGAGGUAAAUUUCUUCUAAAGCUAAAUACUGGCCAGAGACCGAUAGCGCACAAGUAGAGUGAUCGAAAGAUGAAAAGCACUUUGGAAAGAGAGUUAAAAAGCACGUGAAAUUGUUGAAAGGGAAGCGCUUGCAGCCAGACUUGCUUGUAGUUGCUCAUCCGGGUUUCUACCCGGUGCACUCUUCUAUAAGCAGGCCAGCAUCAGUUUGGGCGGUUGGAUAAAGGUCUCUGUCAUGUACCUCCUCUCGGGGAGAACUUAUAGGGGAGACGACAUGCAACCAGCCUGGACUGAGGUCCGCGCAUCUGCUAGGAUGCUGGCGUAAUGGCUGUAAGCGGCCCGUCUUGAAACACGGACCAAGGAGUCUAACAUCUAUGCGAGUGUUUGGGUGUCAAGCCCGAACGCGUAAUGAAAGUGAACGGAGGUGGGAACCUUUCGGGGUGCACCAUCGACCGAUCCUGAUGUCUUCGGAUGGAUUUGAGUAAGAGCAUAGCUGUUGGGACCCGAAAGAUGGUGAACUAUGCUUGAAUAGGGUGAAGC